UAAAAUCACUCCUUUCUAAUCCUCUGCUGUAUGUUCAAACCUGAGGCCUUAAAUAGAAACACACAAGUAUCUGAUUGAAGGAACUUCUGCAGAGUCCUGGUUCCAGAACAUGAUGAUAGAAUUAUAGACAAACUUUAACAAAAGCUGCCUGAGAGUUUACAGCUUUUUAUGUUAGAUUUCUUCAGUAAUUUAAUGAGUUAUCAGCAAAAAUCAAGUGUUCAUUUGAUGAACUUCAUUUCCUAAAACAUCCAGAAUUGGAGCUCAUAUCUUUGGCAGCUGUAAAGUUUCUGCUCCUUCAAAGUUCACAACACAAUGAAUGAAUUCCUAAAACACUCUCAAUGCUGGAGAGCUUUUGAUGCUGAAGCAGUGACCAGUUUUUCUGUUUCUUCUCUGGAGAUGCACAAUGAGGGACGUCUGCAGAGACUGAGAAAGAGUCUCACCACAUCCUGACAUGAGGAAAAAGACUUUAUUGAAGACUACAAUGAGAAAAACUAUCAGACAGCAGACGGCUGCAUUCAAGCUGCUGAAUUCAUGGAUGAAUCAUCUGGCACUAGAGAGGAAGACCAUCAAACAUCCAUGUCAGCUGAUGGAGGUCCAAGAGUCUCACCCAACAAACAACCUACAGAGUGAAGACCUCCAAUCUGAUUGGACGGCCUCCUAUUCAGCCACACGUGUGAACAAAUGCCUCUAAGCUGAUUUGUUUUCUAAAAUAAAUCUAGUUUGAGUCCUAAUCUAUGCCUGUGUGUUUGCUUCUUUACACUGCUGUUAACAGUUUAGGCUGUUAGAUUGUUCCAGAUAAGACAAGUACAAGAUUCUUCAGAGCCGUUCUACCACGAGCCUGACAGGAAGAACUCC
Amphiprion ocellaris (clown anemonefish) is the source of this 855-nucleotide long non-coding RNA. NCBI's taxonomy places the organism in Eukaryota, Metazoa, Chordata, Actinopteri, Pomacentridae. The record is from Ensembl.